AGUGAAUAGAUACCCUGGUAGUCCUGGCAGUAAACGGUGCACGUUUGGUGUAGGCGGAUUCGACCCGCCUGUAGCCGGAGCUAAACGCGUUAAGCGUGCCGGCCUGGGUAAGUACGGUCGCAACGAGUUAAAACUCAAAGAAAUUAGACGGGGGCCCGACAACGAAGCGGUGGAGUAUGUGGCGUUAAAUUCGAUUGCAACGCGUAAGAACCUUACCAAGGGUUUGACAUUCGGUAUUGUGUCUCAGGUGAAAGCCUAGAUAGUUUAGGAGUCAAUCCAAAACGCUUUACACAGGUGCUGCAUGGCUGUCGUCAGCUCGUGUCGUGAGAUGUUGGUUAAGU
RNAcentral lists this ribosomal RNA (341 nucleotides) under uncultured bacterium. Its description in RNAcentral is "bacterial SSU rRNA". It matches the Rfam family "Bacterial small subunit ribosomal RNA", at positions 774 to 1085 of the family's 1533-position model. The record is from RNAcentral.